Molecule: long non-coding RNA, 561 nt
Filed under: Equus asinus (donkey)
Lineage: Eukaryota; Metazoa; Chordata; Mammalia; Perissodactyla; Equidae
Description: lncRNA (ENSEASG00005030513.1)
Source: RNAcentral
CUGGUCAGUAAACUCAACUGGAGGGGAGGAGAUUACACCAGCAUGUGAGUACCAAGAAGGGGACCAUCCGGAGCCAUCUUGGAGGCUGCCUACCACACCUUACUUAAAAACAGACAAGAGUCAGAAUCUCUUCACUUCAUCUGCUUUUCAUGAGAGUGAAACAGUGUUACCUGUAGCAAUACAGGGCCUCAGUCUGAUGUCGAAGAUUUUCCUGAGAUCUCCUACAGACAGAAGGAAUAUGGAAGACAUUUUCCCCAGAAUAGCAACUACAAUAAUUCUAUAAGAUGAUCUUAUCCUGCUAAGAGUAUUAACAAGAAAAAUCACUAAUAGGAAAAUUAAGAGACAUUCAUUACAAAAGUGAUUACUCAAACUCAAAUACAGUUAUCUCAUUUCUCAAAGAAAAGUCUAAAAACCCAGAGAAUUAAAAUCAGAGUUUUUGAGGCAGUUUCCAUAACUCCAUCAUUUCCAGCAGGGAGAAAAAUCAGGCAAGGACAUUUGAACAGAGACCAGAAUGAUGCGAAGGAGGCAGAUAUGAUAACAUCCGAAAGAAAGAUCUGAAAG